RNAcentral lists this ribosomal RNA (477 nucleotides) under uncultured bacterium. RNAcentral's name for it is "partial 16S ribosomal RNA". It matches the Rfam family "Bacterial small subunit ribosomal RNA", at positions 28 to 507 of the family's 1533-position model. The record is from RNAcentral.
GACGAACGCUGGCGGCGUGCUUAACACAUGCAAGUCGAACGUGAUUUUUGUGGAAAUUCUUUCGGGAAUGGAAAUGAAAUGAAGUGGGGAACGGGUGGAUAACCCGUUUACAACCCUACUUUAACUGGGGGAAACCCGGUCGAAAACCAGAUUAAAUCCCGAACGACACCAAAAAAUAGUGAAAGACGGGGUUAAUGGUUCUUCGGGGUAAAAAGGGCCCGCGUCCGGUUAGUUGGUUGGAAGGGGAAAGGCCUACCAACGCGACGAUCAGUAGCCGGUCUGAGAGGAUGAACGGCCACAUUGGAACUGAGACACGGUCCAAACUCCUACGGGAGGCAGCAGUGGGGAAUAUUGCACAAUGGGGGGAACCCUGAUGCAGCGACGCCGCGUGAGCGAAGAAGGUUUUCGAAUCGUAAAGCUCUGUCCUAUGAGAAGAUAAUGACGGUAGCAUAGGAGGAAGCCCCGGCUAAAUACGUG